GACGUAAGAGGCAAGCGUUGUCCGGAAUUACUGGGUGUAAAGCGCGUGUAGGCGGCUUGAUAAGUCGGAUGUGAAAUCCCCGGGCUCAACCCGGGAAUUGCGUCCGAAACUGUCUCGCUCGAGAGCAGAAGAGGAGAGUGGAAUUCCGGGUGUAGCGGUGAAAUGCGUAGAUAUCCGGAGGAACACCAGUGGCGAAGGCGGCUCUCUGGUCUGUUUCUGACGCUGAGACGCGAAAGCGUGGGGAG
This 245-nucleotide ribosomal RNA is filed under the name uncultured bacterium. RNAcentral's name for it is "partial 16S ribosomal RNA". It matches the Rfam family "Bacterial small subunit ribosomal RNA", at positions 524 to 768 of the family's 1533-position model. The record is from RNAcentral.